UGAGUGGCGGACGGUGAGUAACGCGUGGGCAAACCCGUUACGGGUACCCUUCGGGUUAAACAGGGGAUAACACUUAGAAAUAGGUGCUAAUACCGCAUAACGGGAGAAGCCGCAUGGCUUUUCCUGAAAACUCCGGUGGUACAGGAUGGGCCCGCGUCUGAUUAGCCAGUUGGCAGGGUAACGGCCUACCAAAGCGACGAUCAGUAGCCGGCCUGAGAGGGCGGACGGCCACACUGGGACUGAGACACGGCCCAGACUCCUACGGAAGGCAGCAG
Molecule: ribosomal RNA, 275 nt
Filed under: uncultured bacterium
Lineage: Bacteria
Description: partial 16S ribosomal RNA
Rfam family: Bacterial small subunit ribosomal RNA
Source: RNAcentral